AAAGAGGAGCCUGCUGGUCUGCUGGCGGGCAGGCGGCGCUGGGCCGGAGCCUCUCCCUCCGGUGCGCACAGCGCACCCUCUCCUCCCCCGGCCGCCCGUCGCAGCGCGGAGAGGGCGUGUCGGCACCCUGCCUGGCGAGCGCCCACCCCUACAAUGGCUGCGAGCGCGCGGGACGGAGGGUGCACCGCCGCUCCCCGGGGACUUGCACGGGUGGCGCGCCUAGCCCAGAGCCCGCUUGUAGUGAGCGCUCAGUAGGGCGGGAAAGCUGCUGCCGCUACUGCGGCCUUCUGAGAAGACGCCCAUUCUCUGAUGUCAGGACUGCAUCGCCGAGUCCUGAUUGCAAAUAGCGAAAUAUAUAAUUAAGGAGAGUUCGGGGGCGUAUCCUGCAAUGGGAUGCCGAGUUCGAUAAAGUUGCAGGAUGCUGGGAAAGUGGAUUGAUUUGCUGUUGCUAAAUGAAUGGAAACAGCGUUAGAGCUUCUGUCCACGAUCCAUCAGUCUAUCGAGAUUGCUGAUUGCCUAUGACUUGGACGGUUGAUGGUUUUCAGGCCCACUGAGAGCAGCCAGCGUUGGUAUAACCGCAGGGAGCCCUCCUGGGAGGUUGAACCUGCAGAGCGCAAAUGUGCCCAGGUUGAUUUGGGGCCUAGUGGUCCAUUUUCACAGCUCCACUGCCUAUCUGCAUAACCAGGAGCCCUCAUUCAGAUGAACGCCAAAUGGGCCAGAGGGAGGAGAAUCAAAUGAGCAACUUUUAAAAGAUAUUAAGACAUAGGCACCUAACUCCGGACAGUUCCUUUAACCCUUGAGCUAACCAUUUGAAGCACAAAACAUAACAAAAGAAAAGACUGGGGGGAGUGGGGCCAAAAGAAACCAAGUGCAAAAUUCUGUACACUUGUGUCAGAUUCACUCCGUAAUGGGAAAAGGUCUGGCUUUGAAAACUUUAUGGAUCAAAGGGAUGCAUGGAGUUACACAGCACAGCUGCAGAAGAUAAUGUUCCCCUGGAUCACUCUGCCCAACUCUUAACUGCAACCCACCUUCCCCAUCCGUCUCCCCGAAAUCACCCGGAAGGGUGUUACCUUCAGGAAGUAACUGAUCUCUUGAUCACCCCUGCUGGAUCCUGUCCCCAAGGGCGUUCGAAUGCAUCCGACUCAUCUUCACCUUGCCAAUAACGGGUGCUUGACACAUCGUUUGCUGCCAAUCAUUAUUGUGAUUUUAAUACUAUUGGUAUUCUAACUAUCAAGAUGACUGCUUGUAGAGCCAGAUUGCCUGGAUUCAAACUCCAGUUCACAACCUACUAACUGUAUGCCUUUAGGUAAACUCAGAUGCCUCUGAUGGAUUCGAAAUAACCAGAUAUAUUUCUGAAUUGCUUCAUAUGGAGAUUGGAAAGUCUAAGAGCAUGGUGCCUGCAUCUGGUGAAGGCCUUCAUGUUGUG
This 1426-nucleotide long non-coding RNA is filed under the name Homo sapiens (human). Its description in RNAcentral is "non-protein coding lnc-NDUFB9-2:5". The record is from RNAcentral. Lineage: Eukaryota; Metazoa; Chordata; Mammalia; Primates; Hominidae.